This 2346-nucleotide unclassified non-coding RNA is filed under the name Polistes fuscatus (common paper wasp). RNAcentral's name for it is "e3 ubiquitin-protein ligase RNF25, transcript variant X1". Lineage: Eukaryota; Metazoa; Arthropoda; Insecta; Hymenoptera; Vespidae. The record is from RNAcentral.
UCCUUUUAUUUAAAUUUCUUUUAGAUUUCAAUUAAAAUGAAUUUAAUUACAUAGUCGGCUUAAGUCCUAACAAAUAACGAUCGAAUAUAUUCGCGGGUUAAUGUAUUUUUCCAAAAAGAUCGAAAUAACGAUAAAAAUCGAAUAACGAUAAAUUUCUUUUUAUUUCAGUCUAGUUGGUAAUAGUCGUGCAAUAGGAGUAGAAUUUUAAGUUGCUAAUAUUGAUAUGCCGAUUGACGUUUGUAAGGUGCCAGAAAUAGUUAAAAGAAGAGUAAAGAAAACGAGGGAGAAAUAUUUGUUUUAGGGAGAAUGUCAGAUUCAAUGGUAGAUGAAAGAGUGACUGAUGAAAUCGAAGCCUUAAAAGCUAUUUUAUUAGACGACGAACUGAGCAUAAAAGAAAAUGACAGAGGAGAGCCAGAGUAUAUCGAAACUAUAUUAUUCCCCUCGACUGGAGAAGACUCACAAUCUCAAUAUGUCUGCGUUACCCUUGUCGUACAAUUACCUUAUGGGUAUCCAGAUAUAUCUCCCAAUAUUAGCUUAAGAAAUCCCAGAGGAUUGGAUGAAGAUACAGUAAGGUUAAUGCAAUCCGAUGCUGAAGCUAAAUGUAAAGAUUUUAUUGGACAGCCAGUAAUGUUUGAGUUAAUUGAGUUGAUUAGGGAACAUCUUACGAGAAGCAACUUACCUACAGAUCAAUGCGCUGUUUGCUUAUAUGGCUUUAGAGAAGGCGAUGAAUUUACAAAAACAGAGUGCUAUCAUUACUUUCAUUCUCAUUGCUUAGCGGCACAUGUUGCAGCAGCUGAACGUUAUUACAGAGAAGAACAAGAGAAAUUACCGCAAUGGCAACAAGAUACUACUAACAAAUUUCAGGCUAUUUGUCCUGUUUGCCGGGAAUCUAUACAUUGCGACGUGGAAAGUUUAUGGUCGGCUCCACCUCCUAUUGAUGUGGAAGCAGCCACAGACUUUUCAGUUACCGCUGAAUUAAAAGAGCUUCAAAAGCAAAUGGCAGCAUUAUAUUUGAGACAACAACAAAGAGGUGGUAUCAUUGAUUUAGAAGCCGAAGGGGAAAAAAUGUUGCUAAGAACUGAAGACGAUACUGCUGUUUCCACUGAGAGAUUCAAUCCACCUAGCACUAGCUUAAACACAUAUGCUAAUCAAUCUAUUCAAUCUGUCACUCAAGUGCAAUCUUCGAACAAUACGCAAAACCAACCGCGACAAUUCCAUCACAAUCAUCACGGACAUAAUAAUCAUGGACAUAAUAAUCACGGACAUCGUAACCGAGGUAGAGGACGUGCCCAUUAUCGACGCCAAUUUGAUAAAAUGAGGCAUACCGAAACUACUCCCAGAUGACAAUGGGCUCGAGAUCAAAUAUUAACUGCCUGGUCAUUUACUUUGCUGAGCGUAUUUAAUACAGUGUUAUUGUUCAGCAAUAUUCCCAUUGCACCGGCAUAUAAGAUGGGAUGUGUUGAAAGUUCUAAGGACUGUCUACAUAGACUGAAGCCAUGGUGCUCUUUAAACUGCAAGUGUACAGAUUUUUUCAUUCAGUUUCUAUAUUUUUACAUUCCUGCAAUAAUACCACCUGUGGAAACAUUUUUCGUCGAUAGAACCACGUUAAAGAUAUUUUAACGGUGCUUUAUAAUUAGAAAUUAUCUUUAAAGUAGCAGAUAUAUUAGUAUCCUGCGCAUAUUUCUUAAUGUAGCAUUUCAAAGUGGUUCUCAAUUCGUAAUCCAAUAUGUUUAACUAUACUCAUUUAAUAUCUCUUAUAAAAUGCAUAAGUAAGAAACACAUUCUGCAUAUUCUUAUAGAAUUUUCUUAUUAAAAAAAUACAAAUGUCUCAUCAAUUAAAAUUAUUUAACUUAUGUUAUGUCAAAAUCAACGUGCUUUUUUUAAGCUUUCUAACUUUGUAUUUAGAUUAUUAUUUUUCUAUGCAGGAUAAAGGCAUUGUCUAUUGUAGAUAUUCCUUCAACAUAUAUAAAUUGAACAAAAAUUGUUAAUAGUUUUAAUCUCUUCCACAUGAAUGUGAUAAUUACGAAAGGGUAAUAGUAGGCUAAAAAUGAAAUCUUCAAGUAAUAUCUAUUAAAAUAAUUAAUUUACGAUUGGAAAAGACAUUAUAAUGAUGUUCACUCUUCUAUCAGUAAUAUUAUCAUUUUUCUUCACGAAAUAAUUUAUUACAUGAUGAUGAUUGUUAUAUUUUUUAUGUUAGUUUAAAUAUUACAUUUCAGAAAUACUGAUAAUUAUCAAAUUAAUAAUUGGCGAUGUCAAAUUGUGGACAUAAUCUCUAUUGAUUAUAAGUAUAACGAGUUUUUACUCGAUAGAAAGAAGAACUAUUGAAGAAAUAUCCUUUUUGCCUAA